GGCGGCAUGCUUAACACAUGCAANUUCGAACGGUAACAGCAGGAGCUUGCUUCUGGCUGACGAGUGGCGGACGGGUGAGUAACGCGUGGGAACAUGCCUAUCAGUUGGGGACAACCUGUGGAAACGCAGGCUAAUACCGAAUACGUUCUACGGAAUAAAGGUGGCCUCUAGUUGUAAGCUAUCGCUGAUAGAUUGGCCCGCGUUGGAUUAGCUAGUUGGUGGGGUAAAGGUCUACCAAGGCGACGAUCCAUAGCUGGUUUGAGAGGAUGAUCAGCCACACUGGGACUGAGACACGGCCCAGACUCCUACGGGAGGCAGCAGUGGGGGAUAUUGGACAAUGGGCGCAAGCCUGAUCCAGCAAUGCCGCGUGUGUGAAGAAGGCCUGAGGGUUGUAAAGCACUUUCAAUAGUGAAGAAGGGUGUGUGCUUAAUACGCACAUGCAUUGACGUUAACUAUAGAAGAAGCACCGGCUAACUCUGUGCCAGCAGCCGCGGUAAUACAGAGGGUGCAAGCGUUAAUCGGAAUUACUGGGCGUAAAGCGCGCGUAGGUGGUUUGAUAAGUUGGAUGUGAAAUUCCCGGGCUUAACCUGGGUCGGUCAUUCAAAACUAUCAGACUAGAGUAUGGUAGAGGGUAGUAGAAUUUCUAGUGUAGCGGUGAAAUGCGUAGAUAUUAGAAGGAAUACCAGUGGCGAAGGCGACU
This 700-nucleotide ribosomal RNA is filed under the name uncultured bacterium. RNAcentral describes it as "bacterial SSU rRNA". It matches the Rfam family "Bacterial small subunit ribosomal RNA", at positions 38 to 726 of the family's 1533-position model. The record is from RNAcentral.